GUGUCAGCCGCCGCGGUAAUACGAAAGGGGCUAGCGUUGUUCGGAAUUACUGGGCGUAAAGCGCGCGUAGGCGGCCUUGCAAGUUGGGGGUGAAAUCCCGGAGCUCAACUCCGGAACUGCCUUCAAAACUGCAAAGCUAGAGGAUGCGAGAGGUGAGCGGAAUUCCGAGUGUAGAGGUGAAAUUCGUAGAUAUUCGGAAGAACACCAGUGGCGAAGGCGGCUCACUGGCGCAUUUCUGACGCUGAGGCGCGAAAGCGUGGGGAGCAAACAGGAUUAGAUACCCUGGUAGUCCACGCCGUAAACGAUGAGGGCUAGUUGUCAGGCGGCAUGCCGUUUGGUGACGCAGUUAACGCAUUAAGCCCUCCGCCUGGGGAGUACGGUCGCAAGACUAAAACUUAAAGGAAUUGGCGGGG
Molecule: ribosomal RNA, 413 nt
Filed under: uncultured prokaryote
Description: bacterial SSU rRNA
Rfam family: Bacterial small subunit ribosomal RNA
Source: RNAcentral